UUUCCGUUGGUGAACCUGCGGAAGGAUCAUUACCGAUUUAUCCACUCCCAUACCCCUGUGCACCUUCCUGGGCGUUGCCUCAACUUUGCGCCCCCAUCUCCCCUCUCUCUGCCCUACACCCGCCUCCCUCCUGUUUCCCCAACCUCUUUCUUUUAACCGUCUCAUUCUCUCUAAACCCCCCAUACUCCAAAUCGAUCAAAACUUUCAACAACGAAACUCUUGUCUCUGGCAUCUAUGAAGACCCCACCAGAUCGGAACAGCCCCCUCCUGACCUCCAGC
This 279-nucleotide unclassified non-coding RNA is filed under the name plant metagenome. RNAcentral describes it as "partial contains small subunit ribosomal RNA, internal transcribed spacer 1, and 5.8S ribosomal RNA". The record is from RNAcentral.